RNAcentral lists this ribosomal RNA (199 nucleotides) under uncultured bacterium. RNAcentral's name for it is "partial 16S ribosomal RNA". It matches the Rfam family "Bacterial small subunit ribosomal RNA", at positions 328 to 539 of the family's 1533-position model. The record is from RNAcentral.
ACGCUCGACACCUACGGGGGGCAGCAGUGGGGAAUAUUGCACAAUGGGGGGAAACCCUGAUGCAGCGACGCCGCGUGAGUGAAGAAGUAUUUCGGUAUGUAAAGCUCUAUCAGCAGGGAAGAAAAUGACGGUACCUGAGUAAGAAGCCCCGGCUAACUACGUGCCAGCAGCCGCGGUAAUCUGAGCGGGCUGGCAAGGC